UACACUCCUACGGGAGGCAGCAGUGGGGAAUAUUGCACAAUGGGCGCAAGCCUGAUGCAGCCAUGCCGCGUGUAUGAAGAAGGCCUUCGGGUUGUAAAGUACUUUCAGCGGGGAGGAAGGCGAUAAGGUUAAUAACCUUGUUGAUUGACGUUACCCGCAGAAGAAGCACCGGCUAACUCCGUGCCAGCAGCCGCGGUAAUACGGAGGGUGCAAGCGUUAAUCGGAAUUACUGGGCGUAAAGCGCACGCAGGCGGUCUGUCAAGUCGGAUGUGAAAUCCCCGGGCUCAACCUGGGAACUGCAUUCGAAACUGGCAGGCUAGAGUCUUGUAGAGGGGGGUAGAAUUCCAGGUGUAGCGGUGAAAUGCGUAGAGAUCUGGAGGAAUACCGGUGGCGAAGGCGGCCCCCUGGACAAAGACUGACGCUCAGGUGCGAAAGCGUGGGGAGCAAACAGGAUUAGAAACCCUUGUAGUCCCAUGAU
RNAcentral lists this ribosomal RNA (478 nucleotides) under uncultured organism. Its description in RNAcentral is "partial 16S ribosomal RNA". It matches the Rfam family "Bacterial small subunit ribosomal RNA", at positions 332 to 801 of the family's 1533-position model. The record is from RNAcentral.